UGUUUCCUGUGUUUUGGAAAGGAUGAUGGGCAGAGGAAGAAGGCUGCCACAGUGUUCCACCCAUCCUUACUGACAGACACGUACUGGGAGGUGCAAAGCCCACAGCUGGUGCUGCAGCUCAGGUAGAAAGGAAGGCAGGCAGCAGAUAGUUUGAGAAUCAUCCCACCUGUUGCCUGCCUGAACCAAGAACCAGAUCCUAGAGGAGGACUGUGCCAUACUAGUUGGUUGCAGAUCUACUGGGAUCCUAAUAUUGAGAGAGAUCUAACAGGUAGGUAAAAAAUGGAAUUUAUUCAAGGUGCUGAGACUCUUAAAAGAGAAGACUGUUAUUGCCCCUUCUGA
Molecule: long non-coding RNA, 339 nt
Filed under: Parus major (Great Tit)
Lineage: Eukaryota; Metazoa; Chordata; Aves; Passeriformes; Paridae
Description: lncRNA (ENSPMJG00000012130.1)
Source: RNAcentral